CAGUAGCCACGGGAAUACAGAGGGUGCGAGCGUUAAUCGGAUUUACUGGGCGUAAAGCGUGCGUAGGCGGCUAAUUGAGUCGGAUGUGAAAUCCCCGAGCUUAACUUGGGAAUUGCAUUCGAUACUGGUUAGCUAGAGUGUGGGAGAGGAUGGUAGAAUUCCAGGUGUAGCGGUGAAAUGCGUAGAGAUCUGGAGGAAUACCGAUGGCGAAGGCAGCCAUCUGGCCUAACACUGACGCUGAGGUACGAAAGCAUGGGGAGCAAACAGGAUUAGAUACCCCCGUAGUCCCUGUCUCUUAUAA
RNAcentral lists this ribosomal RNA (301 nucleotides) under uncultured bacterium. Its description in RNAcentral is "partial 16S ribosomal RNA". It matches the Rfam family "Bacterial small subunit ribosomal RNA", at positions 509 to 809 of the family's 1533-position model. The record is from RNAcentral.